Molecule: ribosomal RNA, 365 nt
Filed under: uncultured Glomeromycotina
Lineage: Eukaryota; Fungi; Glomeromycota
Description: LSU rRNA
Source: RNAcentral
UUGAAAGGGAAACGAUUGAAGUCCGGCGUACCGACGAGAAAUCAGCUUUUCGAAUGUGCAUUCGAGGGCGUAUGAGAUCUUCAUUGUUUGCAAUAUGUAUGUUUCUUUGGUGUACUUUUUCGUAUGGUAGGUCAACGUCGGUUUUGGUCGCCAUAAAAUGAUCGGAGGAAUGUAGCUUCGGCCUCGGUUGAAGUGUUAUAGGCUUUUGGUAAAUGUGGUGAUUAAGACCGAGGAUUGCAACGAAUACCUUUUAGGCUAUCUGUCUGAUCUCUGAAAGUUACUUAGGUGCCGAAAGCUGGCUUACGGUCAUUUAAGUUGACGGUCAAUAGGUUAGAACGUGAUAAUUCGUUAAGGAUGUUGACGUA